This 468-nucleotide ribosomal RNA is filed under the name uncultured bacterium. RNAcentral's name for it is "partial 16S ribosomal RNA". It matches the Rfam family "Bacterial small subunit ribosomal RNA", at positions 28 to 507 of the family's 1533-position model. The record is from RNAcentral.
GACGAACGCUGGCGGCGUGCUUAACACAUGCAAGUCGAACGGAAAGGCCCUGCUUUUGUGGGGUGCUCGAGUUGCUAACGGGUGAGUAACACGUGAGUAACCUGCCCUUUACUUUCGUAUAACUUCACGAAACUGGGGCUACUACCUCAUAUUAGCUCCUGCUGCAUGUUGUGGUUUGGAACGUUUCGGCCGUUGUGGUUGGACUCGUGGCUUAUCACCUUGGUGGUGGUGUAGUGGGUUACCAAGGCUUUGACGGGUAGCCGGCCUGAGAGGGUGACCGGCCAAAUUGGGAAUAAGAUACGGCCAAGAAGCAUACGGGAAGCAGCAGUGGGGAAAGUUGCACAAUGGGCGGAAGCCUGAUGCAGGAAAGACGAGUGCGGGAUGACGGACUUCGGGUUGUAAAACGCUUGCGCCUGUGACGAAACGUGAGUGACGGUAAUGGGAAAAGAAGCACAGGCUAACUACGUG